ACAAAUUUAUGUAAACUUGAGAAAGUUUCUUUUAUCCAAGCACAUAUAAUAUAUUUUGCUUUCAGAUCUGUAAAACUAGCAUUUUAUUGAAUUUACAGAUGAGAAAAGCUGCCGAACUCUGUCAUUUUAUUUGAAGCAUAGUUGUUGAAUGGUCACUGUCACGAUGGACCGGAUGAAUUUUAACCUGCUGAUUAGAGGUCUUGGAAAUGGAUCUGGAGGGUAGUUGCAUUAGUUUUUGGCUAAUACAGUUGAUUCUAGUUUGAAAUUCUACAUUCAUUCUAGGUGGGCAUGAUUUUAUGAGUAAAAAGAAAAACAAUUUCCAACAUUUUACAAGGGUGUGCUAAAUGCCUGUUCAAGAGCCAGAGAAAAUGACCCAAAUAAUUGUUGAAGCAUUGGAACUCACUGGACAAAGAGGGAUCAUUAACAAAGGCUGGGGUGGCCUUGGCAAUUGUAACUCAUGUAGUUUUGUUGGUGGAACUCAGCUAAUACUUGUUUUUGUUGUGUGCCCAGUGGCUGAACCAAAAGGAUUUUGUGUACUUGCUCGAUAUUGUCCCCAUGAUUGGUUAUUCUUACAAUGUUUUGCAGCGUUGGGUGGGGGAAUUGGCAGCUUGGAACUUUUUGUGCCACUGACAAUUACAUUUCUAGAGUGGGAGUUGAGCAGGGAAGGGGAUGGCGGUUAAUCUCUAUUGCUUCAUAAAGGCCACUCUCUCUGGUUCCCAGUCAAUUGAAAGCUUUAACAAACUCCCUUUAUGUGCUUCAUAUUCGAAGUAUCAUCCAGCUUAGCAUGCAUAGGAUAAGUGACACAACCAAUUGUCUCUUUCUUUCCAGGUGCACCAUGGGGGUGCUGGAACAACGGCUGCUGGUCUUAAAGCUGCGGUGAUGAUUUCAGCAGCUUCUGAUUUUUUUUCUUCUCUCGUUUCGUUUUGUGUUUAUUUGGGCUAAUUGUAUCUUAUCGUUAUUUUGAGAUUACUGUGUCCAACAACUGUUGUCCCCUUCUUUGGUGAUCAGCCGUUUUGGGGGGAAAGGGUGCACGCAAGAGGUGUCGGCCCUCCCCCUAUACCUGUCGACGAAUUUUCACUUCCUAAGCUGCCUGAUGCAAUUAAAUUCAUGCUUGAUCCUAAGGUAAAGGAGCAUGCAGUUGAGCUGGCUAAGGCGAUGGAGAAUGAAGAUGGCGUCACUCAGUGGCGGACCCAUGUACAAUUUUUGGGUGCUCCAGCACCCAUUAAAUUCAGUCACGGAGUGUAUAGCUGUAUAGAAAAUAUAAAGGAAACAGAUAUAAAUAGUUAAUAGAGCACCCCCGAACUCAAAAUUCCUGGGUCCAGCACUCCCGAACUCAAAAUCCUGGGUCCGCCACUGGCGUCACUGGAGCAGUAAAAGCCUUCUUUAAGCAUCUUCCCCACAACAAGCACGAGCCUGAUCAAAUACCUGCACCACCAAGUUUAUUUUCUACAAUAAGAAGAUGCUUCGGUUGUUCCUAGAUCUCAAAGUGGAUAAAGAUUCUAUUUUGUCACUAUAACUAUCUAUACUUCGUUCCUGUAAUUGUAGAAUAUUUUUACACACACCCAAUGGUGCUCUCUCCUAGCAAGAGUCUAUAACCUUGAUCAUUACAUUGUUACUCUUAAGUAGUUGAAUACCAUUGUAAAAUGACUAGACAAUUUCAUAUUCAUCAGAAGAUGAAUCGACGUUGUAAAUGACAGUUCUAAAUUGUCCUAGUUAUGUUUUAAGAAUUUUUAUUUAUUUAUCAUGGGAAGUGCUUGCAGUUUAAAAGAAU
RNA transcript from Lycium barbarum (goji berry), 1771 nucleotides. It is a transcript of the gene named sterol 3-beta-glucosyltransferase UGT80A2-like, with no coding region annotated. The transcript has 5 exons. NCBI's taxonomy places the organism in Eukaryota, Viridiplantae, Streptophyta, Magnoliopsida, Solanales, Solanaceae. The record is from RefSeq and is a predicted model, not a curated record.